This 762-nucleotide ribosomal RNA is filed under the name Triticum aestivum (bread wheat). RNAcentral's name for it is "partial small subunit ribosomal RNA". Lineage: Eukaryota; Viridiplantae; Streptophyta; Magnoliopsida; Poales; Poaceae. The record is from RNAcentral.
AUGCCGAUCGCCUCCAAGCUCCUCUACUUCCAGCGCCGCCCCUCGCCGGCGCCGCCGGAGCCCCCCGACCCGCGCCGCCGGCCCUGCCGCGGGGCGAGCGCCUCCGCCCCCCGCCGCCAGCGCAGCUCGGCCGUCUCAAACCACCACCACCACCAUCAUCACAAGCUGGGCCAGGAACUUGUUCCGGCAAACCAAAGAGAUGGGGCUAAGCUUGUGGGAUGUGCUGGAAACAAAAUAGAACAUAUAGGGUUCACGUGCUCCAGGUCAAGGCUAAGCCGCAGUGUAUCGGAUCAUGGACGGCUUCCUGAUGCUGUUCAACAGGCUAGAGAAAGGCUUCUUCAGAGGCUUAAUAGUGUGGACUUGUCAGGAAGAAGGGAAAACACUUCGUGCUCCGAAACCAUUUGGGCUGGAGUAGUAACUCAUCCUGCUGACAUUGGUAUUUCCAACUUGGCCGAUAGCGAACUUGGUAGCCUAACCAGUUACUUCCAAUCCAGUGUAUCCAUCACCACCUACAACAAAGUCCAAGAAACAUUCCCAGAGCCUUUCAGCACCGUAGAUAAGUGCAUGCCUGUCACCCCGUGCACCGAACCAGUCCAUGUGCUACAAGAAACAGCCUGCGAGUGCUCGAUAUGCCUGGAGAGGUGCGGCGAGGCAGACGGGCUCAUGCAGCUGCGGUGCAAGCAUGUCUUCCACUCGGCGUGCCUGGAACGGUGGCUUCGAUCCCACGGCGACUGCCCCUACUGCGGGGCAGUGUGCUCCUGA